RNAcentral lists this ribosomal RNA (477 nucleotides) under uncultured organism. Its description in RNAcentral is "partial 16S ribosomal RNA". It matches the Rfam family "Bacterial small subunit ribosomal RNA", at positions 333 to 801 of the family's 1533-position model. The record is from RNAcentral.
ACACUCCUACGGGAGGCAGCAGUGGGGAAUUUUGGACAAUGGGCGAAAGCCUGAUCCAGCCAUGCCGCGUGCAGGAUGAAGGCCUUCGGGUUGUAAACUGCUUUUGUACGGAACGAAACGGCCUUUUCUAAUAAAGAGGGCUAAUGACGGUACCGUAAGAAUAAGCACCGGCUAACUACGUGCCAGCAGCCGCGGUAAUACGUAGGGUGCAAGCGUUAAUCGGAAUUACCGGGCGUAAAGCGUGCGCAGGCGGUUAUGUAAGACAGUUGUGAAAUCCCCGGGCUCAACCUGGGAACUGCAUCUGUGACUGCAUAGCUAGAGUACGGUAGAGGGGGAUGGAAUUCCGCGUGUAGCAGUGAAAUGCGUAGAUAUGCGGAGGAACACCGAUGGCGAAGGCAAUCCCCUGGACCUGUACUGACGCUCAUGCACGAAAGCGUGGGGAGCAAACAGGAUUAGAUACCCUUGUAGUCCCAUGAU